Non-coding RNA from Caenorhabditis elegans, 273 nucleotides. The record is from Ensembl. NCBI's taxonomy places the organism in Eukaryota, Metazoa, Nematoda, Chromadorea, Rhabditida, Rhabditidae.
GUUCAAGCACAAAAUUCAUCAGUUCUAGAUCAUAUUUUCACUAGUUCAAAGUAUCCAGCCCACUUUGGAAAGGUAUAGUGGGAGUUGAAAAUGAGUCUAGUCUAUGUUUCUCGCAAAAACCGUGAUCCAAUUGUAGCCAGUUUUGUGUAAAACUUCUGAGCUUGAUAUAUACCUGUGCAUCGUUUGUCUACCAUGACUCCUUGAGAAGUUGUCUGUUUUUAGGAAAAACCUUAAAGAAUCUUAAAAAUUUUUUCAGGGCUCUGCACUUGAAAG